RNAcentral lists this ribosomal RNA (274 nucleotides) under uncultured bacterium. Its description in RNAcentral is "partial 16S ribosomal RNA". It matches the Rfam family "Archaeal small subunit ribosomal RNA", at positions 473 to 747 of the family's 1478-position model. The record is from RNAcentral.
AAACCAGCACCUCAAGUGGUCAGGAUGAUUAUUGGGCCUAAAGCAUCCGUAGCCUGUUCUAUAAGUUUCCGGUUAAAUCCAUUAGCUCAACUAAUGGGCCGCCGAAAAUACUGUAGAACUAGGGAGUGGGAGAGGUAGACGGUAUUCGGUAGGAAGGGGUAAAAUCCUUUGAUCUAUUGAGGACCACCUGUGGCGAAGGCGGUCUACCAGAACACGUUCGACGGUGAGGGAUGAAAGCUGGGGGAGCAAACCGGAUUAGAAACCCGAGUAGUCC